GAACGAUAAUAAUAAGAACUAAGAAUUUUCAAAUUUUACAUAUUUUAGUGGAUAAAAUAUAUAUAUUCUGUUGUGUGAUAAACAUCUUUAAUUUCUAGGACAGAUCUAGUUUACAACUGACAUUUAAGUGAUCCAGUUAAUUAGAGAUGAUUGCUAAUUAACUAUGAAAAGAUAAUACUGUAGCUUUCUUUAAUAUGUCGAUGUGAAAAAUUUGAAUGAAGGUUUGUUGUAAAAUAUAGAAGUUGUGUUGAAGCUGUCAUUGUCCAGUCUAAGUUGUGACUACUUGAAUCUAUCGUGGCAUCUUCGUCAAUGGCUCUAUAUUAAUAUGUAAGUAUUAUUGAUAGAAACAACGUUUACAUUGUACAGGUCGUUUGUUUGGAUGUGUUCAAAGAUGAUGGAAAGAAAGUGAAGUAAAGAAGAAAUUUUCCUGAAGUAACGAUGUUGUCUUAAUUCCUAUAUGGUAGUCUGUCAUAUGUAAUAUAGCGAGUUGAGACACUUGCUUUAGCUAACAUUGCCUUUUGUUGUCUUAAUACUUUCAGUAUUUUACUUUCUACACUCCAUUUCAAUGCUCGUUAUUCCUCCAUAUCUUCAGAUCAACGCAAAGAGAAAGUUUGUAUUUCUUAAUGUCAUUUCGGAACAUUGUUUAGUCGCCAUUUACCUUUAUUUCUAUACAUACUUGACAACUCAUGGUGAAAUUCUGGUUUCAGCACUCCAUGUAUUUCCUCGUAGCUUACAUAUAUUUUUAAAAUUUACUUGCCCUUGUUUACCCUACCUACCUAUCCUCUAUGGUAAAUUUUUACAAGUUCACCACCACGUUCUUCACUAGAAAAAACCCCAAAGAACUUCGGUUAUUCGCGUGGAAUCAAGUACCCUGAACUCCUAAUAUGCCGCAAACUCCUUAUUUUGGCUCGGAAAAAGAAUGGGCGGGGUGAGAAACCCCCCUCACAGGAAUUAUUGGAAUUUUUUUUUAAUCAAUUAUACCACAACAUACCACAAAAGACUUUUUUAUCCAGAAAAAAGAUGGAGUGCGGUGGAAUACACGGAAAUUCACCCCACUUCCCGUAUCAUUGGAAAAUAUUUUCUUUUUUUUUUUAGUUGAAUGAAAUACGGUGACUUCCUAAUGUGUCACAAAAUACUUUUUUUUUUUUGACCGAGGUGAGGUGAUGUGGAACCCUCGUAAAUUUCAACCGCCCCUCCCUCAUUUCAUGGAGAAAUUUUUUUUUUUGCUGUUUGUUAAUAUACGCACAAAACACUUCUUUUUGUCCAGAAAAUAGGGAGUGGUGUGGGGUGGAGUGUAAACCGCGGAAAUUUCACCCCCCCCCCCAUCGGAAUCCUUAGUCCAUCAGAUAAAAUGCUUUGCAGCAUUUUUGCUCUCUCUUUGCACACCUCAUUGAAGUCAGGUUUGUCUUUCACUCUUUUCGGGUUGUUAAAAUGAAGUACUACUUGAGUUUAUGCCAAAAACCUGAACCAAAUAAAAGAAAUGUAGUAAAACGUCUACUUUUUAUAGAAAUAUCCUCUAUAUUUUAUAUUUGUUCUCCUUUUAUUUCAGAACAUAGAUGAUGAUGCCAUAAAAGAAUUAUUUGCCUGAGAUCCAUCAAUAUUUAUCAUCUUGUGAGGACAGAAAGACUCGAUGAAAAACAUUACCAGCAAAAAACACAGAUUAAUAGCUGAAUUUUCUGUCUGGAAUGUGUACAAAAUGAAUUUAUAUUCUAAUUAAAAUUGGAUUACAAAGGAGUUUGCAGCAUCUUCAAAUAUUAAUCAAGAUCACAGUUGACAAAACUAUAGCAGAAGAAAAAACAUCUCCAUAUUGUGGAGAGCGAU
Molecule: long non-coding RNA, 1821 nt
Filed under: Octopus vulgaris (common octopus)
Lineage: Eukaryota; Metazoa; Mollusca; Cephalopoda; Octopoda; Octopodidae
Source: RNAcentral